This 253-nucleotide ribosomal RNA is filed under the name uncultured bacterium. RNAcentral's name for it is "partial 16S ribosomal RNA". It matches the Rfam family "Bacterial small subunit ribosomal RNA", at positions 524 to 776 of the family's 1533-position model. The record is from RNAcentral.
UACGUAGGGACCGAGCGUUGUCCGGAAUUACUGGGCGUAAAGAGCUCGUAGGUGGUUUGUCGCGUUGUUCGUGAAAACUCACAGCUUAACUGUGGGCGUGCGGGCGAUACGGGCAGACUGGAGUACUGCAGGGGAGACUGGAAUUCCUGGUGUAGCGGUGGAAUGCGCAGAUAUCAGGAGGAACACCGGUGGCGAAGGCGGGUCUCUGGGCAGUAACUGACGCUGAGGAGCGAAAGCGUGGGGAGCGAACGGG